GAUGAACGCUGGUGGCGUGCCUAAUACAUGCAAGUCGAGCGAACGGACGAGAAGCUUGCUUCUCUGAUGUUAGCGGCGGACGGGUGAGUAACACGUGGAUAACCUACCUAUAAGACUGGGAUAACUUCGGGAAACCGGAGCUAAUACCGGAUGAUAUUUUGAACCGCAUGGUUCAAAAGUGAAAGACGGUCUUGCUGUCACUUAUAGAUGGAUCCGCGCUGCAUUAGCUAGUUGGUAAGGUAACGGCUUACCAAGGCAACGAUGCAUAGCCGACCUGAGAGGGUGAUCGGCCACACUGGAACUGAGACACGGUCCAGACUCCUACGGGAGGCAGCAGUAGGGAAUCUUCCGCAAUGGGCGAAAGCCUGACGGAGCAACGCCGCGUGAGUGAUGAAGGUCUUCGGAUCGUAAAACUCUGUUAUUAGGUAAGAACAUAUGUGUAAGUAACUGUGCACAUCUUGACGGUACCUAAUCAGAAAGCCACGGCUAACUACGUG
Molecule: ribosomal RNA, 497 nt
Filed under: uncultured bacterium
Lineage: Bacteria
Description: partial 16S ribosomal RNA
Rfam family: Bacterial small subunit ribosomal RNA
Source: RNAcentral